AAAUAAACCUGUCCUUGUUGACUGUCGAGC
Molecule: non-coding RNA, 30 nt
Filed under: Homo sapiens (human)
Lineage: Eukaryota; Metazoa; Chordata; Mammalia; Primates; Hominidae
Source: RNAcentral